Long non-coding RNA from Daphnia pulicaria, 872 nucleotides. RefSeq lists it as uncharacterized. The transcript has 2 exons. NCBI's taxonomy places the organism in Eukaryota, Metazoa, Arthropoda, Branchiopoda, Diplostraca, Daphniidae. The record is from RefSeq and is a predicted model, not a curated record.
GGGUAUGGUAGCAACUAGAAACGUCAAGUUCGUUGUGCUCGAUGGAUGUGCAACGACGGAAACGAAAUAAAUAAAAGCGGUGGCCUCAUAAGGAGGUCGCGUAUUAACGGGAAUGGAGCUGCUGGAGCCGCUUGUCCACGGGGAUGAGCAGCAACCCGUCCACGAUUCGGAGCUACCACCCAUCGAUUGUGCGGAGAAACAAUACGUUCACGAUGUGGAGCAACUAACCAUCCAUGGGGGGGGAGCAACAACACGUCCAUGGGGCGGACCAACUACCCAUCCAUCGUGCGGAACAACAACAUGUCCAAGGUGUGGAGCAAUCACCCAUCCACGGGGCGGAGCAGCAACUGCAACUCGUUCAAGGGGCGGGGCAGCUCGCCAUAGUUCCCUUGCCUGAGGAUUUCGGGGAAUCUCUAAAACACCUGAAUAUUCCUGAUAUGCUUCAUGGUGGUCAGGUGGGUGAAGAUCCUGGCCCUCCAUCACAGGGGGAGAACGAGAGGCCCGUUGUGUAGGUUAACUUCUGGGUUUGCCAUAGGGGAGAGGCAAGAAAGGCUGUAAUUAAAAAAAAUGCAUUUUAUUACUUUCUGGCCUCUUUACCCAACAAAAAAAGACGGAAACGUAACUAAACUUACCAAAGUUUAGAUGUGGGGGCCUGAAGGGGGGGGGGGGGUACCUGAAAUUUAAAAAGAAAAGAAACAUUUCAAAUAAAUUUAUUGCGAUAAUUUUUGUCAAGUGUCCAAUCCCCCGAAGUACAAUAAAAAUUAAAAAAAAAAACAGAAAUAAGCAAAUAAUACUUUUAAAAAAACUAUACUUGAAACUUGAAAGUUAAUGGUAAGGCUGGGGAAGACCAGGACUGGUGGUGUUUUAUUCCU